CGCGUGAGGGAUGAAGGCCUUCGGGUUGUAAACCUCUUUCAGCAGGGACGAAGCGUGAGUGACGGUACCUGCAGAAGAAGCACCGGCUAACUACGUGCCAGCAGCCGCGGUAAUACGUAGGGUGCGAGCGUUGUCCGGAAUUACUGGGCGUAAAGAGUUCGUAGGCGGUUUGUCGCGUCGUUUGUGAAAACCCGGGGCUCAACUUCGGGCUUGCAGGCGAUACGGGCAGACUUGAGUGUUUCAGGGGAGACUGGAAUUCCUGGUGUAGCGGUGAAAUGCGCAGAUAUCAGGAGGAACACCGGUGGCGAAGGCGGGUCUCUGGGAAACAACUGACGCUGAGGAACGAAAGCGUGGGUAGCAAACAGGAUUAGAUCCCCUGGUA
Molecule: ribosomal RNA, 382 nt
Filed under: Rhodococcus sp. 4.20-VOd
Lineage: Bacteria; Bacillati; Actinomycetota; Actinomycetes; Mycobacteriales; Nocardiaceae
Description: bacterial SSU rRNA
Rfam family: Bacterial small subunit ribosomal RNA
Source: RNAcentral